AACGAACGCUGGCGGCAUGCCUAACACAUGCAAGUCGAACGAGCCCUUCGGGUCUAGUGGCGCACGGGUGCGUAACGCGUGGGAACCUGCCCUUAGGUUCGGAAUAACUCUCCGACAGGGGUGCUAAUACCGGAUAAUGUCUUCGGACCAAAGAUGUAUCGCCUUUGGAUGGGCCCGCGUUGGUUUAGCUAGUUGGUAGGGUAAAAGCCUACCAAGGCGACGAUGCAUAGCUGGUCUGAGAGGGAGAGCAGCCACACUGGGACUGAGACACGGCCCGGGCUGGGGAGGGAGGAAGGGGGGGGGGAUAGAUGAAGAGGGGUGGAGUGCUGGAUGGGCGACGUCGGGUGAGGGAUGAAGUCCUCAGGGGUGGAAAGCCCUGUUACUCGCGGCGGGAAUGACGGUACCGGGAGAAGAAGCGCCGGCUAACUACGUG
This 433-nucleotide ribosomal RNA is filed under the name uncultured bacterium. RNAcentral describes it as "partial 16S ribosomal RNA". It matches the Rfam family "Bacterial small subunit ribosomal RNA", at positions 28 to 507 of the family's 1533-position model. The record is from RNAcentral.